CGGGGUGUAGCUCAGUCCGGUUAGAGUGUGCGUCUGGGGGGCGUGAGGUCGCAAGUUCGAAUCUUGUCACCCCGACCA
RNAcentral lists this transfer RNA (78 nucleotides) under Muribaculum sp. RNAcentral's name for it is "tRNA-Pro". It matches the Rfam family "tRNA". From Rfam's summary of the family: Transfer RNA (tRNA) molecules are approximately 80 nucleotides in length. Their secondary structure includes four short double-helical elements and three loops (D, anti-codon, and T loops). The record is from RNAcentral. Lineage: Bacteria; Pseudomonadati; Bacteroidota; Bacteroidia; Bacteroidales; Muribaculaceae. RNAcentral also lists the same sequence under 2 other names.